RNAcentral lists this long non-coding RNA (815 nucleotides) under Vigna radiata. RNAcentral's name for it is "long non-coding RNA (VRAD_LNC000177)". Lineage: Eukaryota; Viridiplantae; Streptophyta; Magnoliopsida; Fabales; Fabaceae. The record is from RNAcentral.
UAGCAUUUCCUGCAAUUCCAUAGUGAAGAACUCCUUUCACAUCAAAUAAAGUAAGCAACAACUGGGUUGAAAUGCCUGGAUUUAGCUACACAAAAACAAGCCAAACGAUUCAAAAAACAAAAGGAGAAACAUAGCCAAAAGUUAAUAUGAAGUGUAGAAUAGAAAGCUUGUUUACCAUUCCCAAUCCACACAUAACAACUACAACCCUUUUACUUUCCAAUACACCAAUACAAAAAUGUUUUCCUGCAUUGUCAAAGGGAAAAAUACCAAACAUUUGGAAAAUUUCUAACUUUUUUAUAUCAUACUAAAUGCUUGCAUUGUGUUGACUUUUAUCAUCUGUCAUGACUGUAUACAAAAUCUGUUAUCUCGGUUUAUUCUGUCACUGUAUGACUAUAUAUUCUUAGCACUGUAUUCGGGUUGAAUAAUAAUGACAAAUACAUUCAUUUAUAUAUAUAUAUUGACAUGUAUAGAGUUAUAUCAGAAAANAAAAUUUCACACAGAUAUUUUAUCUAUAUAUGUAGUAUGUGUUUUGGUAUCUGAUAUACAUUAAAUACAAAACGUGUUCGAACUUCAUAGGUAGGAGCAUGGUUGAUGAAGUUACCUGCAUAAUUGAAGUAAGNAAAGUUGUGAUGAGGCUGAAAGCUUGAUGAACGAAGAAGAGGAUCCAACUCAAAGGAAUUUGGCACCACUAUACCAAUGUAUGGUCCUUCACCAUUGAUAAUGCUGAUUUGUCUCCAUGAAAGUUCAGAAAUUGUACCAUUUGCCAUCAUGAUACUGCACAGUGACAACACAGAAAUAGUUUUUUUUUUUUUUUU